UGUUUCCCUUUAAAGAAAAAAAAGGUGCCCCUAAAGUCUCCGUGCUUGUAUUUCGUCCUACACUGGUAUAAGCGCUCAAGACAACUACUCUAAAUGGACUUUCAACAUUGUCGCUUUUGAAAUUUAACUGAAUUUUUCUGUUUCGUGGAAAUAUACAUAUAUAAAAAAAAAAUAUACAAUAUUAUAUUACGAUGGACAAUUUGUGUUUUUUCCAUUUUAUACGCAAGGGUCUUUAAAAAAUUUGACCCUUGGGCCUCCUUUGCUCAUGUCCUCGUAAGUCUGGUGUUCGUUCGGUAUAAAAUCGAACUAUAUUAUAAUGUUAUUGGACCGCGUGUGAUUUAAUUUAUUUCUAAAUAUCCGACCGAGAAAAAGCCAUCGACGAGGAAAAAGCCAUUCGCCCGACGACGCGUCAUGUUAUUAUAGGCGAAAUAACGUGGGUUCUCCACCU
This is a non-coding RNA of Cinara cedri, 448 nucleotides long. NCBI's taxonomy places the organism in Eukaryota, Metazoa, Arthropoda, Insecta, Hemiptera, Aphididae. The record is from the annotation of a GenBank genome assembly.